RNAcentral lists this long non-coding RNA (554 nucleotides) under Brachypodium distachyon (stiff brome). RNAcentral describes it as "long non-coding RNA (BDIS_LNC005538)". The record is from RNAcentral. Lineage: Eukaryota; Viridiplantae; Streptophyta; Magnoliopsida; Poales; Poaceae.
GUCACGAUGGAUGUAGAAGCAGCAAGCAUGCAUGUGGAUGAGCUAGCAUUGAGGUAGUAUAUAUCACAGCCUGAUGCUGGCUACCGUUGCAACCAUUUUUAUGUAACCAUCUCGUAAGUAUAGAUUUUUGGCAUCGACAAUUCAACAUGUAGCGUUGACGCUCUGUGCAUGCUCACACCCUUCGUCAGAGGCCGGGCUCUCAGCCCCAGGGUACGUACACUGCUAGUCUCAUUUGAGUAAUUGAGACUAUGAUGAACACUGACAAGGAGAGGGAGAGAGAGAAAAAUAAAAAGGCAAGCAACGGUGAUGAACUCGGCCAGGUCAUGCAUGGCAGUGAUAAAAAAAAGCAAGGACGUGGGAGGAAAAAAAAACUCGAUCGUCUCAGCUUACCAUGCAAUGCAACUGGCAGACUGAUUUGUGUAUCAAUGGGGAAAUUUUGCAGUGUCGGAAUCAAACACACAUUAUUGCUUUCUCUACGAUCGGUCAAAAAGGCCGUGGCCCCGUCAUGAUUCCACUGUGGCGCGUUUCCUGGACGAACCAACCCAUCUGGAGCA